CAUUUGUUUCUUUCCCCUCAUCCUUCCUUUUGUCUAUAUUAUUAUGAUAUUCUCCUGGAAAGAGCUAUUUUUGAAUAAAAGGGAUCAACGAACCCAUUACCUUACCUUUAAGAUAGAUCAGAAAACAUGGGCAUAAUUAUGGGUGAUUAUUCAGACUAGUGCACACAUUUUACAGUUUAAACAAGGCAAUGCCGCGCGUGGCAUCCCCUCGUAUGUAACAUAUUGGGGACAAAUAUGGACACUAUAUUUGUAUAUGACACAUGCAGAAAAUGGUAAAUUGAAUAUGCAUAUUUGAUACAUAAACUAUUUUUUUAGAAAUCAACCAAAACAAUCAGUAACUGGAAAUACCUUUAAUAUUGUCUUUAGAACCAGCAGGGUAAAAAAAUGAGCAACC
RNAcentral lists this long non-coding RNA (394 nucleotides) under Mytilus galloprovincialis (Mediterranean mussel). Lineage: Eukaryota; Metazoa; Mollusca; Bivalvia; Mytilida; Mytilidae. The record is from RNAcentral.